CGCACCUUGCGCCUCUUGGUAUUCCGAGAGGCAUGCCUGUUUGAGUGUCAUGAAUCAUCAAUCCCAUAGGUUUUUCACCUGUGUGGACUUGGAACUGGGCGUCUGCCUCCCAAGGCUCGCCUGAAAUGACUUAGUGGGAACUUCUUGACCUACGCCUGACGUGAUAAGUUUCGUCUCGGCCGGUCUCGAGGCCCGCUCACAACCCCCAAUCUUUUGACAUUGACCUCAAAUCAGGUAGGGCUACCCGCUGAACUUAA
This 257-nucleotide unclassified non-coding RNA is filed under the name Kockovaella lichenicola. RNAcentral's name for it is "partial contains 5.8S ribosomal RNA, internal transcribed spacer 2, and large subunit ribosomal RNA". Lineage: Eukaryota; Fungi; Basidiomycota; Tremellomycetes; Tremellales; Cuniculitremaceae. The record is from RNAcentral.